Molecule: long non-coding RNA, 210 nt
Filed under: Drosophila guanche
Lineage: Eukaryota; Metazoa; Arthropoda; Insecta; Diptera; Drosophilidae
Source: RNAcentral
UACCGAUGUGCUGCAUCGCAUUCGCGUGAACACUUGUGCCGCCCACAAUCUGAGAGUUUUCAUCAGCACGGACUAUGAGCAUCUGGACGAGAAGGAGGCGACUCUGGUGCGCUGUGUGCUGGACUACAGUCUGAGUCGUGAGGAGCUGCCCGUGGUGUUGGCCUCACAGCUCAGCCCCGAGCUGAGUGUCCGUGUCCGACUGCAGCUGCU